GAAAUAUAUUAAUAUAAGCUUCUAACUUAUAAUAUAGUGGUUAAUAUCCAUUAAUAUUUCU
This 61-nucleotide transfer RNA is filed under the name Graphium agamemnon. RNAcentral's name for it is "tRNA-Ser". The record is from RNAcentral. RNAcentral also lists the same sequence under 1 other name. Lineage: Eukaryota; Metazoa; Arthropoda; Insecta; Lepidoptera; Papilionidae.